AUGAACGCUGGCGGCGUGCCUAAUACAUGCAAGUCGAGCGAACAGACGAGGAGCUUGCUCCUCUGACGUUAGCGGCGGACGGGUGAGUAACACGUGGAUAACCUACCUAUAAGACUGGGAUAACUUCGGGAAACCGGAGCUAAUACCGGAUAAUAUAUUGAACCGCAUGGUUCAAUAGUGAAAGACGGUUUUGCUGUCACUUAUAGAUGGAUCCGCGCCGCAUUAGCUAGUUGGUAAGGUAACGGCUUACCAAGGCGACGAUGCGUAGCCGACCUGAGAGGGGGAUCGGCCACACUGGAACUGAGACACGGUCCAGACUCCUACGGGAGGCAGCAGUAGGGAAUCUUCCGCAAUGGGCGAAAGCCUGACGGAGCAACGCCGCGUGAGUGAUGAAGGUCUUCGGAUCGUAAAACUCUGUUAUUAGGGAAGAACAAAUGUGUAAGUAACUAUGCACGUCUUGACGGUACCUAAUCAGAAAGCCACGGCUAACUACGUG
This 496-nucleotide ribosomal RNA is filed under the name uncultured bacterium. RNAcentral describes it as "partial 16S ribosomal RNA". It matches the Rfam family "Bacterial small subunit ribosomal RNA", at positions 29 to 507 of the family's 1533-position model. The record is from RNAcentral.